Molecule: non-coding RNA, 2593 nt
Organism: Arabidopsis thaliana (thale cress)
Lineage: Eukaryota; Viridiplantae; Streptophyta; Magnoliopsida; Brassicales; Brassicaceae
Source: RefSeq
UUCUCUCCUCCAGAAAAAUAAUUAGGAUUAUUAUAUUAUUAUUUGUUUUGUUUCCUCGAAUAAAAAAGAGAAUCCGAGAACUUUUUAAGACAAAAGCCAAGUCUUCGAAACCUUAUGAGAUGUGAUAGGGUUACAAGGGUAAAACAGGAACUCAGAAUAAAAAUAAGUUAAUCGAGAAAGCUCCAAAUAAACACCACUCGUCCGCCUCUCUGUCUCUCACCAAAAUAAAAAACUCAAUCUCUCUCUCUCUCUCUCCAUCGAGAAACACUAAACUGCUAUAAUCAUUACCUCUCUUCGAUUUCUCAAACCCUAUCUGGCUCUCUACCCAUAUGCUUCAGAUCCGCAUUAAAAAAGCUAAGUUUUUUGUUAUGUCCUUCUUUCUUAUUUGAUCAGUUUGUUCUUGUUUCACGAUUUUAACCUGAGAUUUUUUAUAUAUUUUCUCCAGAUCUGCUAUCCGCAGUCAUCUGUUCAUAGGAAAAGAUCUGGCUUUACUUUUAGAGAUUAUCUCAGAUCCAGCCUUUUACCCAAUUGAAGGCAAGUUCACAUACUCUGUUUUUUUUGUCUUGGUUUUAAUUUCUCGGUUUUUUACAUGUAACAGAUGUUUUAAGCAUGAUUUUUUGUUUAAACAGUUUGUUUUUCCUACCCUUAAAACUUCUCUGAAUUAAUAUCCCAUUUAUAUGACCACUCUAAUGUCUUCUUAUACGACUACGCAAGUGUUGCAUAUUCUUGACCUUUUCACACUUCAUUUGCAUUUUAGUCUAACAAUAUAAAUCCGCAAAUAUCUUGUGUUUAUACUUAUUGAAAUUAGUCUUCCGACAUAUAUAAUCUAGGAUCUAUUUGGAUUAUUUGGGCCAUCAGUCUCAUUCGUUUCAUUAACAUCUGAGUCUUUGAACUUUGUUUAUCUUUCCUAGCUUGAUAUUUUAAUAUUAGUUUUUUUGCGCCUCUUUGUUUUUGAUCAUUUAUUCUCUCAAUUGGAUAGUAUAGUGAAGUAAAUAAUGUAGCUAUGACUUUACCUGUAGCAUUUACCUGUAGCAUCUUAAAAAUAUGAAUUAAAAAUGAUUUAGCUAAUUUGGGCUUAUGUUUAUAAGCAUAGAAGUUUAUACUACAAGUUCGUUUAGAUUUUUCCAGUAUCAACUCAAACAUAGUUUUUACUCAAGCAUAGUUUUUACUCAAGCAUAGUUUUUACUCACACUAAAACCCACAUGUAGUGUGCAAAAGUAAGUACCCCCCCACCUCUGUUCCUCACGGUUUUUCUGCAAAGGACCCACCCUCCUUGAACUUCAGCGUCCAUCACAAUGUCCCCAUCAUCAUCAAACCUGUACAAGCCAGUGGCGAUCCUAACAUUGUAGAAGUUGAUAGCAUUUUUGCAAGUGGAGGGAGCACUUGUGUUUCUCCACGUAUUGCUGUCUUGAUUAAAGCGGUUGUCAACUCUGUAAAGUCCCUCUACUUCAAUAGGUAUGGUAAAUGAGUUUGAUUCUGGGAAUAGGUUGUGGUUGUUAUAAAGAAUGCUCCACUCAGCAGCGUUGAGCCAGCGCUGUGUUGAUGUUUGAAGCACAGCUGCUACAUCUGUCAAAAAUAGCAACCAAACAUAUGAGAUUUAUAUAUAUAUUAUAAGCAACUGUUUUAUUCUGAAAUUUUUAAAUCUUGCCUUAAUUGUACAAAUUCCAUAGAUCUAGGAGACUAUUCUAAGAUUCCAUAGAUCUGUAACACUGUGCUACGAUUUCUACACUGUUCUAAGAUUCCAUAGAUCUGUAACACUGUACUACGAUUUCUACACUGUUCUAAGAUUCCAUAGAUCAUAACUUUUCUAAGAUUUCUACACUGUUACCAAUUCCAUAGAUUGUAGCCUCGAUUUCCCAAAUUCACAGAUCUACUCUAAUUUUAAAUACAUUCCUCCAAUUCCCAAACUCACCAAUGUUUCUUGAUACUUUCAAUUUCAAUUUCUUUAUUACCCCAAAUUCGCUACCCCUAUAUCUUGCUUCUGAGAAUAUAAUCGUUUUUUAUUACCUUCAUUUCCUUCAGGUAGGUCCAUAUGCUGAAGAUUUAUCGCAGGAGCGACCACUACGGGAGCCGCCAUUGGAGAUUCUCUGUGAGAGAGAGAGAGAGAAAUAGUUUGAGAAUCAAUCUUCUGUAUUUUAUUGUGUAGAUCAAGUUAUUUAGUAUAUGCUAGUACUUAUGGUUAAAAUAGACUAUUAUUAAAAUUCAAAAGUAAUAAAGCCAACGAGUACACUAAACUCAGAUUAUAUUUUCCAAAACUAUUGCUAAAGAAUAUCAAUACGUACACUAGAUAUAGAAAUCGGAAUUAGGUACGUUGUGAUCCAUUUCAGCUACUGUUAGGGGUAAGAUUUGGGCUUGCUUGGCCCAAGGCCCAAAUCCAAGUCAAAGGCCUAAGCAGAAUGUUAAGUCAAGAGGGUAGGCUCGUCAAAAUCCUGGAGGAGUGUCCUACACGCAGAAGGCUAUAAAUACGGAAUAGCAUGUCUUGUCAAAGGGGGAUUCCGCCGGACACGCAGAGACACAGAGCAGCUCGUCAGCUCACCCGUCCGAAGUAUCCCGCCAGCCGGUCCGUCUCAAGCAGCUCGUCAGCUCACCCGUC